GGGAGGCUCUGCGCGAGGUGGCCAAUGGUGAGGAGGUGCGGCUUAAGAGGGGGCUAGGGUUUGUUUGCUGAAAAUUUUGAUAGCUAGUGGGCUAGGAUUUGGGCUGGUUUGUUUUGUAUUUUGGGUCUGAAAUGGGUUUUAAAUUGUUGGACCACACAUAUAUUGUAAAUGGACUAAAAAAAUUGGACUUUUUAAUUGUUUAUUUGGGUUUUAUUUUGUUUUAUUGGCCUAGGCCAAAAUUGGCUAUUACAGCCCCUCUUUGCUCAUUGUCAUGUAAUGAGAAUUGAGUAAAGACCUUAAAAGAGCCAAUUUUGCCUAGUCUUAUCGAAUCUUGACUUAUUUGGUGCUUCUGCACUUCGAGUAGACUCAUUCCAUCCCAUUGUAUCUUCAGGGGUAUAGGAAUUAGUGCCUCGAUUCGCCCCAAUUUAAUUUCAAGAAGAAGAGAUUUGUGGCUUUGAUCUACUCCACUGGAACUUCAAAGAGAUAAGACUAGGUAAUUUCAACCUGCUCCAUUGCAUCUUCAGGAAGAUGAGGUUUGCGACUUCAAUCUGCUCCACUGCAAUUUCAGGGAGAUGAGAUUCGCCAUGGUAACUUGAUCCGACCUACUACAACUUCAGAGAUAAGAUUUGCUAUAUUGAGUCUGCUCCACUAUAACUUCAGAGAGAUAAGGCUCUGUAAUCUAUAGCUUUGAUCUACUCUACUGUAACUUCAAAAUUAGAGCUCCUCUAGAGAAAGUCUUCUUCACCACAUAAGGUCCCUCCCAAUUAGGCAUCCAUUUUCCUCUAAAGUCCUUUUGUAUGAGGAGGAUCUUUUUCAAAACAAGGUCUCCUUCAUGGAAUUCUCUAGGGCGAACCUUCUUAUUAUAAGCCCGCAUCAUCCUCUUUUGGUACAUUUGACCACGGCGAAUAGCCUUUAGUCUCUUUUUUUCAAUUAAAUUCAGCUGAUCAUAUCGAGAUUGGAUCCAUUCUGCUUCAUCUAAUUUUAGUUCUGACAGCACUCGUAGCAAGGGAAUCUCAACCUCAAUAGGCAGAACUGCCUCCAUUCCAUAAACUAAAGAGAAAGGCGUUGCCCCGGUAGAGGUUUUAACGGAUGUUUGGUAGGUGUAGAGGGCGAAUGUUAAUUUCUCAUGCCAAUUCUCAUAAGUCUCAGUCAUUUUCCCCACGAUUUUCUUAAUGUUCUUAUUUGCCGCUUCCGCUACACCAUUCAUCUUUGGACGAUAUGGUGACGAGUUAUGGUGUUUGAUCUUGAAUUGGCUACAAACCUCCGCUAUCGUGCUAUUGUUUAAGUUCAGUGCAUUAUCCGAUAUGAUUCUCUCAGGCAUCCCAUAUCGACAUAUGAUUUCUUUCUUUAAGAACUUGCUAACUGCUGACUUUGUGACGUUGGCAUAGGAGGUGUCCUCUACCCAUUUGGUGAAGUAAUCUAUGACCUCAAAGAUGAAUCGAUGUCCAUUAGAUGCUUUCGGCGAGAUCGGCCCUAUGACAUCCAUGCCCUACAUGGAGAAAGGCCACAGAGAAGUCAUGGCAUGAAGAGGUUAAGAAGGUACAUGAAUCUUAUCUCCAUAAAUUUGGCACUUAUGGCACUUUUUUGGCAUAGUUGAUGCAAUUCCCUUCCAUAGUGGACCAAUAAUAUCAGAAUCUCAUGAUUUGUCUAGCCAUUGUGAAACCAUUAGCAUGUAUUCCGCAGACACCUUCAUAGACCUCUUCUAAAAUUUACUUAGCCUCGAAAGCAUCUACACAUCUUAGGAGCACCUGAUCUUUGCUUCUUUCAUAUAGGAUCUCUCCAUCCAAAACAUAGUUACUGGCCAACCUUCUCAAUAUCCUUUUAUCAUUUUCAGUCGCUUGGUCUAGGUAUUCACGAUUCUUCACAUAUCGCAAUAUAUCCUGAUACCAAGGAUGAUCAUCUUUUCCUUCUUCUUCGUCAAUGUUGUACCAAUGAGCUGGAGCCUCGUAAAUACUCAUUUGGAUAGGCUUCAUAUCCUCUUGCUCGUUCAUUUUGAUCAUAAAAGCCAAGGUUGCCAAGGCAUCAGCCAUCUGGUUUUCAUCUCGUGGAAGGUAGCAGAAAGUGAUAUCGUCAAACUCCUCGAUUAACUCAAGAACCAGCCUUCGAUAAUUGAUCAACUUGGGGUCUCUUAUUUCCCCUUCGCCUUUAAGCUGAUAGAUCACUAAUGCAGAAUCUCCGUAUACCUCUAAUACCUUGAUCUUACAUUCUAUGGCUACAUGGAUGCCCAUGAUGCACGCCUCGUAUUCCGCCAUGUUAUUUGUGCAGUCAAAAUCCAAUUUACUAGUAAAGGGAUAAUGAUCGCUGUUUGGGAUACCAAAACUGCCCCGAUUUCGUUACCCACAGUAUUUGAAGCUCCGUCAAAAUUCAGUUUCCAAAUAUGGCCUUCUUGAGAGUCUUCUUCCAUGGUUGCAACAUAUAUUAGAUCCUCAUUCGGGAAAUCAAAGCUCAACGGCUCAUAAUUUUCCAGAGCUCUACUGGCCAAAAAAUCUGCUAUCACACUCCCUUUUACAGCCUUUUGGUUCAUGUAGGCUAUGUCAAACUCAGAAAGUAAAAUUUGCCAACAAGCCAUUCUUCCGUUCAGAGCAUUUGACUCCAUCAUGUAUUUUAGAGGGUCUAGUUUUGAGAUGAGCCAAGUAGUGUGGUACAACAUAUACUGUCUCAGCCUUCAGGUUGUCCAAAUCAAAGCACAGUACAACUUCUCGAUCGAUGAAUAUAUUGUCUCACAUUCAGUGAAUUUCUUGCUGAGAUAGUAUAUCGCUUUUUCUUUUUUUCUUGACUCGUCAUGUUGGCCUAGCGCGCAUCCCAUAGAGUUUUCGAAUACUGCCAAAUAUAGUAUCAGUGGUUUAUCCAGGCAAAGUGGCAUUAGUACUAGAGCAUUGGACAGGUAAUGCUUAACCUUAUCAAAAGUUUUCUGGCACUCCUCAUUCUAUACACCUGGGUUGUGUUUCCUAAGGAAAUGGAAUAUCAGGUCACAUUUCUCCGUUAAUUGUGAAAUGAACCGGGCGAUGUAAUUUAGUCUUUCUAGAAAACCUCAAACUUCUUUUUGAGUACGUGGUGGAGGUAAUUCUUGUAUGGCCCUGACUUUAUCUGGGUCAAUCUCAAUCCCCUUUUCACUGACUACGAAUCCUAACAUUUUCCCUGACUUGGCCCUAAAGGUACACUUUGCAGGAUUGAGUUUUAGUUGGAACUUCCUUAACCUUAAGAAUAGUUUUCUCAAGACUUGCACAUGCUCCUUUUCUGUUAUGGAUUUUGCAAUCAUGUUGUCGAUGUAAACUUCGAUCUCCUUGUGCAUCAUAUCAUGGAACAUAGUUACCAUGGCUCUCUGAUAUGCUACUUCUGCGUUUUUCAGUCCGAAUGGUAUAAUCUUAUAACAAAACGUUCCCCACAUGGUUAGGAAUAUGGUCUUUUUCAUGUCUUCAAGAUGUAUUUUUAUCUGGUUGUAUCCCGAGAAGCCAUCUAUGAAUGAGAAAAUUGAGUAAUCUGUCGUGUUAUCCACUAAUGUAUCAAUGUGAGGCAACGAGAAGUUUUCUUUUGGGCUGGCCUUAUUUAAAUCCUGAUAGUCCACGCACAUUCGUACCUUCCCAUCUUUCUUAGGAAUUGGGACUAUAUUGGCUACCCAUUUUGAGUACUUGACCACUUGUAAGAAACCGGUGUCAAAUUUCUUCUUGACCUCUUCUUUUAUCUUCAAUAAAAUAUCGAGUCUCAUCCUUCGGAGUUUCUGUUGAACAGGUUUGCAUUUUUCCUUUAUGGGGAGACGGUGUACCACAAUAUCAGUAUCUAACCCGGGUAUUUCCUGAUACGACCAUGCGAAGACAUCCUUGAAUUCUUAUAAUAACUUAAUAAGGUCUUGUUUUGUCUCUGCAGUGAUACAAGCUCCAAUCUUAACCUCUUUUCCCUCUCCUAAACUCACAAUUUCUACUGACUCUUUAUGAGGUAGUAUUUGUUUCUCAUCUUGUUCUACUAUCCUUAACAAAUCAGGAAAUAGGUUACAAUUUCGGUCAUCUUCAAAAUCCUGAGAAUCCUCUAUGCGCAUAUCUUGCUCAAAAGGAGACUCUAAGUCAGUAGCAACAUUGUUCAUAUCAUUGAUAUAUGGGAACCUAUUAUAGGGAUGAAAAAAAAUCCAAAGAACAAAAGAAUCUAAGAAUAUUUUAUUUGUGUGGUAUGAUUAUGAAUGAAGUAGAAAAAAAUAAAAGAAUAUUUGCUCAAGAUGAUAUGCAAAAAUGCAUUUUAUUGAAAUAAUGAUAUUUGGACAUAUGCCUAUUUCAGAAAAGGGUUUUUAUUGCCCCUAGGCUUAGAGAAAUAAGCUUAUUUUGAACAUUACUCUGAGUUAAUUCUAAAAGUUACAGGGAUCUCUUCCGCAGUCUAAUUGUUCAAAACAAUUCCAGGGAUAUAAAGGCAGAUUCCAGAUAAAUUCCCUUCUUCGAUUCUUUCUUCAGAUAUGGCGUUAAUGCUCAAACUUCCCAACAUUUCUUCAGCCAUUUUCUUUCUUGUCAUCUCCUGUUUGGGGUGGAUAGUUCCUCCUGACACAAAUGUUCUAGAUAAAUGAGGAAAGGUUAUUGGUUCCCAUUUGACCUCCUCACCGCGUAGACGCGCUUUUCUUCUCUCUUGCUUCUUCUCCAGCUGUUUCUUCUUUUGCCUCAUAUCUGGCUUAAAUCCUAAGCCAAAGUGGUCUCAUUUUUCCUUUAGCACAGUAUCUCGAUCCUUUCCUGAAGGCAUCUUCCAAGUCCUCUCCCUAGCAGGGCUCCUUUCUCGACUGUCAAUUAUAGGCCCAUCUCUGUAGUUUUGGAUAUUUUAAGAGUUGGGAUCUUGUUCACUUCGAUAAUGGAUGUAGCAUUGACAAAUUCUAGUGAUUGAAAGGAAUAUUCUAUUGCCUCAUCGUUUGCACCUAUGUACGGUGCGUAACUGGUAACGGAUGCAAUGAUGUCUUCUUCCGCGUUAUCGUUACCAGUCUACCCUCGGUUAUCAACUUUAACUUCUGGUGUAGUGACGAUGGCACUGCUCCCGUAAAGUGAAUCCACGGCAUCCCCAACAAGCAGUUGUACGAAAGCUUGAUGUCCAUCACCAAUAAGUCCACCUCAUAUGUGUUUGGGCCAAUCAAAAGAGGUAUCUCGAUUCUUCCCAUCACCUUUCUUUUAGUACAGUUGAAUGGUCUCACUAUGUUUUGACAUGUCUUAAUGUGGGAGCUAUCUACUGGCAACCUAUUUAGCGUGGACAAGGGCAGGACAUUCAACUCCGAUUCAUUAUCGAUUAGUACCCCCGGCAAUGUGUAUCCCUUGCAGCGAGUGGUGAUAUGCAAGGCCUUUGUGGAUCCCAUACCCUCCAGUGGUAUUUCAUCGUCAUUAAAGAAAAUAAAAUUAUCGGUGCUGAUGUUAUUGACCAAACGAUUGGGCUUGUUGACAGAGAUAUUAUCUGCAAUAUAUGUUUCAUUUAACACUUUUAUUAAUGCACUGCGGUGUGUCUCUGAGCUCAAGAGCAAGGCUAAUACCGAUAUGUGAGCUGGCUGUUUGUGCAACUGUUUCACAACACUAUACUCAUUGUGCUUCAAGAAUUUUAAGAAUUCCUUAGCCUCCUUUUCAGUUACAGGCUCAUUGACAGGUGAUUCAGGUCUGGUUGUCUUUUCCUUUCUUUGUUCAACAACCACGAAUUUACUUUUAACUGGGUCUACCUUUUUGUUCAAGGUAUAACGCCUUCCACCGCGCGUAUAGAAACCCUCAUCUUGACCUUCCUCUGAAGCGCUAGCCGGGUUCUCCUCUCCCGGGAUCGCCACAUUGUAGUCGUAAUUCCAAGUAACCCUUUUGUUAUCCUUGUAAGGAAAGGAUAUAGGUUUCUGGAUUAUGACUCUUGCACCAUUGGUAUUCCUACUUCAUUAUUCCUUGGCCGCGAAAUGAUCACCACAGGGUGAUUAACCUUUUGGACUCUUUCUGUUGAUCCUUCCUUUGAGGCGCAAACCUCUCUUUCUUCUGCCCCUUUGAUUUCUUCGUAAAAUUCUAUCUCUUUAUUGUCCAUCAGACUUUGCACUAUGGAUCUGAACUCAGCGCAUUCUUGGAUGUCAUGACCCUUCUCGUCAUGAAACUUGCAGUAUUUCGUUACCCCUUUAGGCUUCUCCUCUUAAUGUCUUGUGAUUAAACCUCUAUUGACCAUUUGUUUCCAAACUCAACUCAGUGGAGUUUUUACCUCUGAUACCUCUAUCUUGGUUCUCUUCCCUCCAUUUUUAGUUAUCGCGUUUACUCCUUUGUCUGAAUGACUAGGUAACGAAUUUUCUGCUACAUGAGGUCAUGUGAGAUCAUCGAACUUUACAAUGCCCAUCUUUAUAAAUCUUUCAACUAUUUUUUUGAAAGCAGUGCAGUUCUCAAUCGUAUGUCCUGGGAUUCCUGCAUGGUGUUCGAAUUAAACGUUUGUGUCAUACCACUUAGGGAAUAGAUGUUGCAUGAGUUUUAGGUAAAAUGGGGAUACCACAUGCGCAUCGAACAGAUUCUGGUAAAGCUCCCUAUACGUCAUUGGGAUCGGCGUGAACUGAACUCUUUUCGUGUUAGGCCUUGGGUUAGAAUCUUGUCUUUUGGAGCCCUGAUAGCUAGUGGUCACUGCCCUCGGUUGGCUUACAGUGACUGGCUUGGAAUAACCCUUUUGUAUACGCUCGCAUUGUUCACCUCAUUUUCUUUCCUUCUCGAGGCCAAUUUCUUGGCACUUUUCCCCGCUUCAAUCUUCCCGCAUCUUAUUGCAUUUUCUAUCAUCUCUUCAGACAUUACUAUGUCUGAGAAGCUCUUAGUAGCGCUUCCCAACAUGUGGUUAAUGAAUAGGGCCUUUAGGGUAUUGAUAAAAAGCAUGGUCGUUUCUUUUUCCAAGAGAGGUGGUUGGACUUGCAUUGCUAUCUCCCUCCAUCGUUAGGCAUACUGCCUGAAGCUCUCACUUGACUUCUUUUCCAUGUUUUGCAAUGUAAUUCUGUCGGGUGUUAUAUCCGUCAUGUGACCGUAUUCUUUCAUGAAAGCUUGAUCCAAGUCCUUCCACGAACCAAUUUGGGCACGGCUUAGAUAGUUAUACCACUUGGCCGUAGACCCGACCAAACUGUCUUGGAAGCAGUGGAUCAACAAUUGAUCAUUGUGAACAUACCCUGCCAUCAUUCGACAGAACAUGGUGAUGUGAGCUUCCGGACAGCUAGUUCCAUUGUAUUUUUCAAAAUCUAAGGUUUUAAACAUAGAAGGGAGUACUAAAUCUGGGACCAAACUUAGGUCUUUGGCGUCUAUUCCACAAUGGUACUCAGAAUUCUCCAUUGCUCUGAGUUUCUCUUCCAGCCAUUAGUAUCGAUCAUUCAGUUGUUUUGGUAGUUCCACUCUUAUUUUCUCUACCUCUGCCACAUUAUCAAGAUCAGGAACAAGGGGAUUGGUUGAGUUAUCCCCAGGAUUGGAACCCGAGCCUAUUUGAUAGUUUAUCAGAGCUAAAGUAUCGAUUUGAUGCUGUUGAGGCCUGAUAGUAACGGGUACCCUUCAUGGGUACACUUCUAGUGGUGUCUGGACGUUGAUUGGAGUAAAGACUGGGAGGUAGAUAGGAUCCUCAUUUUCGUUCGCAGUACUCUUCCCUUUUUCACGUUCUCUGACCAGCAACUGCGCCAAUUGGCUCAUCAUAUUAUUUUGGGACUCUUGCAUUUGUUCCCUCAUAUCUUGUUGUAUUUUAGCUAACUGCUCUUACAUCUGCGCUUGUAAUUGCUCUUGCAUAUCCUUUUGCAUUUAUUCUAGUCUUUCUAACCUCUGAUCCAUCUCUUUAGUUUUAUGACGGGUAUUGUAGCGGUAUUCGAUUGGUCGACUCUUAUUGGUUUCCAAAUUAACUGAAAUAAUUUUUUUUAAUUAAGGCCUUUUCGUGAAAUUUAAUACAUAUGAUUAAAUGUAAUGCAAAUGAAUGAAUGCAAAAAGAGGCAUUGAUUCUGAUUCAAUUUCAUUAGAAGAACUUUACUAGAAGAACUUUACUAGAAGAACUUUACUAGAAGAAAAAUUUCUUUACAUAGAACGGAUGAUUACAUAUACGACUUUUCCCUAAUGUCCAAAGCCUUAACUUUUCUAAGGAGCCAAGCAAAGUUUCGACCUCGAUUUGAUUCUGACCCGUACUUUAAGCUUAAUACAUCAGCCUGAACUUCCAAGUCUUGCAAAUGAUCGGCUACCUCACGAACUUGAGCUACAGCCUCGCCCAUGACAUAAUCUCUAUUUCUAAUCUGAUCUUGAGAGCGGAGAAGUUGUUCUUUGCAAUGCUCAUUGUUUGCCUUAAGGAGUUCCACUCGAAUUUUACUGUCUCGUAGUACAGUCUCAAGUUUCCCUAUUUCCUCUUUUAACCCCUCGAUCUUGCUUAGACUGGUCUUUAACUCAAUCACGGAGUUACUGCUACGAUGAUAAUGCAGUGAUUUUUCUAAUUCGGCCACCCGAGCUCGUAACCUUUCUUUUUCUCUUUGGCUUUCCAACAAAAUCUUUUUCAAAGUAUCCUCUUGAAACUUCUUCUCCCAAUGAUCGACUCUAGUCUUUUUCUUUUCAAUUUCUUGACACCAUUGCUCUGACGUUUUACCUAAACCGACAGUUCUUAUCGACAUACGCAGCUUCUUAUAAUCAGUCUUUAGACUAUCCAAGUCCUCAUCGGCUUUGUUCUUCCCUUUCCUUAGCUUCUUGGCCUAUAGCUUAUGGAUGUCGACGUCUAAUCCUAGCCGCAUCUUUUCCUCCUCUAAUUGCUCUAUCUUUUUUCCCAAUUCCGAGCUCCUUUUCUCGAAGUCUUACUUGAUGAUCUCUAACUCAAACGGGACUACUUGUAAAUGCUCUUCUAUCGGUCGAGUGUUCCCUUGAUUCAGCCUAAGGAUAUUGUCAUUGACUCUUCUACCCCACCACCAUUCAUACUCGGAGGUUGUUAUCGGGCCCGUGGUGAAUCCUUUCAUUCUUCGGGUUUGGUUCCAAGCAUUUAAUAUCUCAUAAACCUUCUUCUUAUAAUUGUUGUCUUUAUAAGAGAACUCACAUUGAGCUAACCCUUGUUUUGCUGGUAUAAACUUUCUUAAUCGAUACUGCCUUAACACAAGUAGUGGAACGUAUCCAACGACUCCUCAUAUUCCACCUAGAGGAACCCAGUCAAAAUUGCCGCACUGAUAUAAGAUUUCGCCAGGGAUCAACCAUGGAGCCCUCUAUUCAACAUCUUCGCCUUGCAAACUCUGGAAAAUAGCUAUCAUUUUUCUUCUGAGAUAUCGUCUCGUCUUGGUGUAGCGACUAAUUCUCUUAAUAGGGAAUAGUCCUUGGAGAAAACUCGAUAGGAGACAUUUUCUACUUUCCAAAAGUGGCUGUGGAACCAAGCCAACAAUAACUGCGCACAUCCUACGAAUCUUCCUUCGCCCGCCCUCCGACAUGCGUUCAAGGAUCUGAAGGUUUCUACUAGGAUUGCCAGGACGGGUGUGGUCCUUUUAUCAAGUCUGUCGAAUAAAUCUGAGACGGCCUCAUCUACAUGUCCUAAUGCCUUGGGAAAGACGAUCAAACCGUAGAGGCUCAAGGCGAAAACGUCAACCCUCUUCUUCAUAUCCGGGUGUGCCAGGAUCAAGUCCCUCAAAUUCUUCCAAAGAAUACACUUACUAUCCCCUUUCUGCUUGAUCCGGGAUGCAACCCAUUGUUCACUCAUCCCCGUGAUAUUCAUCAAUUUCUUCAAAAAGGGCGGGACAUUAACAGGUCUUGAAUAGGCCCUGUCGGCUUGAAUCUUUGGGCAAUUAUGUAAAGCCAUGUAUUCCUCCACAGUAGGUACCAAAUCAACUCUCCCAAAAGUGAAGCAACUGUAGGCGGGGUUCCAAAAUUGGGUGAGAGCUCGGAAUAAGCGUUUGUCCAUUUUCACCUCGAGUAAAUAAGCGUUUUGGCCUAACCCGAUCCGACCCGACCCGUCUUACCCUAGGAUCUGCGUGUUUUUUGUUUGAUGGUCUAAUUUCGCGAUUGGCCCAUUCCGCCUUUUCAUGUUUUUGCAAUUGAGUUUUUAAUAUUUCCUAAUUAGGCCCCGAAAUUUGACGCACUUUGUGAUCUAGUCCUCUGCCAUGCGCUGCGUUUUAGGAGGAGAGAAUAUUGCGCUUUUGGUCCCCUAGAGUUUCCCGCGUGUUCAUUUUGGUCCUUUGCCCUUUAUUUCUUUUUAAAUUUGCCCCAAAAUUCUGUUCUUAGUUCGAUUUAGUCCUUUUUCGUUUAUUUUCAUUUUUUUACAUAUUAUUAAUAUUAUUACUAUUAUUUUAUUUCUAUUAUUAUCUUUAUUAUUACUGUUAGUAUUAUUUUCAUUACUAUUAUUUUUAUUAACAUAUUAAUUAUUUUCUAACGUAUUAUUAUUACUAAUUAUUAUUAUUUCUAGUUUUAUUAUUAUUAUUAAUAUUAGGGUAUGUAUAUUAUAUAUGUAUGUAUAUAUAUUUACAUAUAGUACUAUUUUAAUUACUUUAUUUUAAUAUUACUAUUAUAUUAUAUUUGCUUUUUUAUAUACUUCAUUAUUAUUUCUAAUAUUAUUAUUAUUAUUAGUCGUUAUUUAUUUCUAAUAUGUAUAUAUUAUGUAAAUGUUUAAAUAUUAUAUUUUAUAUAUUCUUCAUGUAUGUUAUGUAUAUAUAUUUUCAAUAUUAUAUAUUUUAUAUAUUAUUAUAUAUAUUUUAAUAUUAUUAGUUAUAUAUUUUUUAUACUAUUAUGUGUAUAUUUCUAAUAUUAUAUUGUAUAUUUCUAAUACUAUUAUUUAUAUAUAUAUGUGUGUGUGUAGAUACUUGUGUAGUGUACAAAGUAGUUUUUUAUUAUUAUUAUCAUUUCUAAGGUAUGUAUAUAUUGUAUAUAUUUUAUAUAUGUUAUGUAUAUAUUUUUAAUAUUACUAAUUAUAUAUAUUUCUUAUACAUUUCCAUGUACAUAUUUUUAUACCAUCUUAUGUAUAUAUUUUUAAAUACUAUAUUGUAUAUAUAUUCUUAAUACCAUAUCGUGUAUAUAUCAUUAUUACAUUUAUUUUACUCCUACUAUGUUUGUUAUUAAUAUCAAGACAUAUAUUUUAUUAUACUUGUAUGCAUAUUUUAUAUAUAGUAUUAUUUUCGUAUAUCAUUAUAAUUAUUAUACCCAUUAGUUUCACUAUCAUCACUUAUUAUUUUAUAUUACUAUGUAUAUAUUUUUCAUAUACGUCAUGUGCACACAUUUUUCAUAUGUAUACAUGUAUAUAUUAUGUAUAUAUUUUAACAUUAUUAGUUAUAUUCUCACUAUCAAACAUUAUAUAUAGUGUACAUACAUACUCUUAAUAUCAUGUAUCUAUAUUCAUUAUUUCCAUUUCAUAUUUAAUUCUAGUAUCAUAUAUAUCUUUAUUGUUUAUAAUAUUAUUGUCACAUUUAUAUUCGCUUCAAUGUACCUCUAGAUUUGUCUUUUAUUUUUUAUUUAUUAAUUUGCUUUGCAUUACUUCGAAAACCAUAUUCUUGUUUUCUAAUUAAUUUCAAUAAUCAAGGCAACGUACCGAUUUAAUGUUAAGCCAUCGAUUUCAUCGCUAUGUUGGGUGAAUAUCAAUCGACUCGUGUUAAAACGGUAUAUUCUUCUCAAAAGAAAACGAAACUUGAAAUUUCUCGUGUUUUACUCGGUCACGAUUCAAUGUUACUUUGAACUUGCAAUUUUGAAAAUUAAUACAACACUUGUUUAUAAGAUACCAAUUUUGGACGUCGCGAGGGUGCUAAUACCUUCCUUGCGCGUAACCGACUCCCGAACCCUAAAUUUUCUCUGGAUUUUAACGUAGACCUAAACUCAGCCUUUUAUUUGUUUUAAUAAGAGAUCUAAUAGGUGUCCGAUCACACCUAGGGAAAAGGAUCGGUGGCGACUCCCUGUUUAUUUCAAAAAUCAAAUUUCAAAAUUUUUUUUCAAUAAAUCGCCACAAUUAGCGACCAAGCUAAGCUAAAAUUUUUACGUCGCUACAGCUGGCGACUCCACUGGGGACCAUUUUUGAGAGUCGAGUUGAAUUAAACGCGUGUUGUCAAAAUUUUCAAAGUUCCUUGUUCAAAAUGAAUAUUCAAUCAUGAUCCUUAAGUUUUGUUUUCGAAAAAAUCAUACAUACAUAUCUCCUAAUUUGUUUUAUCUUUCAUUUUUCAGCUUUAAGUUUUAUGGUUUUAGUUUUGUAGUUUUAAAAUAAAUGAAAGGUUUGCAAGUUUCUCCCCACGCACCGUGCACAUGCAUUUUUGUUGCAUAACAUGAGCUCUAUACCCGGGCUCUAUCCUUAUUAAGUGAAAGUAAAUGCUACGCCUUCGUGAGUUAACUCGUUCCUCCGCACAGGCUAGUGAAUACUUUCGGGUUACAUAUGACUUAUGCUUUCGUGAGUUAACUCGUCCCUCCGCAUAGGCAUAAGUAAAUGUAAUCGCUCGAAUUGAUCUCGUAAGCCUAUGAUGGACCAUGACCGAGGCUCUGUACUAAUCUUAGUAGAUGACAGUAUAGACGAUUCGAGUACCCAUCUAGAACCAAAACUGCAUGUAGUAAACCAUACGAGCCAUCCAACUAGAGCCGUGCCAAAACUCCAUCCGUUUACUAGUCACUGAAAUAAGUACACGGGAAAAACACAUCUUACCUUCUAUUUCUUUUACAUUUGCGCUUUCUAUGCAAGGGAAUCGAGUCCAUUGGACCAAGUAGCUUAAUUUAUUAGAUUGUCCACAGUUUUUCUCUGUUCAUAUGUGUUGUGCUAACCAAGUUUGUUUCUUUUUAUUCUUAUUUUACAUCAUGCAUUAUAGGCAUCAUAUUAGGAAGGUGUUGACUAGAGAUCGGUUGCCAAAAAAUGGGUUUGUAAUGGAAGAGUCAAUUAUACAAACAACCAAGAAGAAUGCCGCGGUUUGAGAUUGGUCUCUAAAGACUCAGAAAGAAAGAGGGGAUAGUCUAGUGGAGGGAUGCAUUGCCAAUUUACCCGAGCACGUAACUGUGAAUAUUCGCCAGAAUAACCUUGAAGAUUUGGUUCGGGUUUGGAAUCAGUGGGACUUGGACACUAGGGGUAUCUUCACUGAAAGAUAUGGGGACAUAGCCGACUUGAUUACUGUCAACGUAGACGAACGAUUGAUCCAAACCAUGGUCAGAUUUUGGGAUCCAGCCUACCAAUGUUUUACUUUCAAUCAGGAAGACAUGACCCCGACUAUAGAAGAGUACGCUGCUUUACUUCGUGUCGAAAACGUACAACCCUAUAAGAUAUAUGUGAAAGAACCUAAGCCAAUGACCUUCAAGAAAAAGUUAGUAAGAUUGACAGACGUGACUGACACGUGGGUCAAAAAACAGAUAAAGAAGAAGAAUGAAACCAUUUGCAUCCCAUGGUCUUCCCUACGAGACUUUGUUCUGAACCAUCCCGACAUGUUGAAAAGGGUAAAUCUGUUCGCUCUGGUCAUUUACGGUUUGAUCAUUUUCCCAAAGGUCCUUGGAUACAUAGAAGUUGCGGUGGUAGAUUUCUUCGAAAGAUUAAAACAAGGAAUCAACCCCGUCCCAACUAUCCUGGCCGAAACCUUCAGAUCAUUAAGUAGCUGUAAGAAGAAAGGGGAAGGUCGUUUUAUCGGAUGCGCGCAGUUACUCAAUGUUUGGAUUCUGAGCCACUUCUGGAAAAUAGAGCGUACACUAUUCCAUAUGUUUUCUAAAACAUUCUCCCCGUUAGAAGCUUAUCUCAAGAAAGAAUGGCCGAAGGAGGUCCCCGAACGAUAUUGGGUCUCAGUCUUUCAGAAUCUUCGCGCUGAUGACGUAACUUGGAGAGCCCCGUGGAUAUGCCCGUCAGUUCUGCUAUACAAGGUCGGGGAUCAAGAUUGGGUGCCACUACUCGGGUUAUGGGGAGGAGUUGGAUAUGCUCCGUUAAUGCUCCAAAGGUAAUUUUCUUCAUGAUAAUUCGUACCCGCCACCGGAGGAUUAGCACAAUCAGAGUUUGCUUUUGCGGGUGAAGGAUAUAUGAAGAGGGUCCGAGAUAUUGCAAAGUCUUGGAAGAGAAUUCAUCACAUAGAAUUAGCUCUAUAUGCUGAUACGUUCACCCAAGAUUACGACAUAUGGAGAAAGCAACGGGUGAACAGCCAGCAAAUCUCGUCGACAAAUUACACCAUCCAGAAUCCUUUCUCGGCAGAAGUGCCAUCCGAGCUAGAAAUAGCAAGACAGGAUUUUUGAGCGCGAAAGGUCAAAAUGUUGCGGGACAUUAGUAUUCUUCAAGAAGAAAAUUACCAGUUGAAGAUCGACGUCCAGAUCGAAAGGUCUAAAAUCGAAAAAGUACAAAAAGAAGUUGAAGUCGUAAGAAAUGACUUAAGGGACCUUCAUCUGGAAAAUAAAAAGUUAAGAGUCACUAUCAAGAAUAGUGGGUUGGGUAAGUCAUCAACAGAAUGGAGAGAAGAAUUAAACAAUGCUAAAGGCGGGAUGGAAUUUUGGAAAAAGAUGGCAGAGAAGGAGGAGGAAAAGGCUGCACGGGUUAUGAUAAAAUUGAGAAAGAAAAACGCUGAACACGAAGCUAUGUCUACCAAAUGGACAACUAGUCAAUCUGAACGUCAAAGCUUAAGAGAAAGAGUACGGGAUCUAGAAGAUGCGUUGCGAGCUCGUCAGCAACAAUUGGAUGCUCUCUUAAAAGCCUUGGAAGAAAAGAAUGAUCAAUAUGAUAGAGACACUCACGCUUAUAAAACAGACCUCCAAGAAAGAGAAAUGCAACUUGGCUUUUUGAUCAACAAAAUCCGUGAAGCGGCUGUGCACAUGGUACAACUAUCAGAUGAAGCAGACGAUCUCAGUUGCCAAUUCUCGCCGAGCCAACAAUCGAGCAUAUCAGAGUUCUUGGAGCGAGUAAAGAAAUAUAGCGAUAUAGCUAGGAAAUUUGUGUAAUGGCCGAAUUAAAAAUGGCGAAAUGUUUUGUGAUGAACUCUUUCGAUGAAUGAAAUGCCUAAUAGGGACUAUCUCGAGAUCAACACCAAUUUCUCGCAUUUCUUUCAUGUCUGACAUUCAUUCAACAUUUUUUCAUUCAUUCAUUGCAUAUACAUAUCCCAUAAUCAUUCGCUAAGGUUAGAAACAUAUAAUUUGCAGUUGCAACACUUCAAAUCUGGAACCACGCCAUUCGUAUAAAACGCGUCGACAAGCUAGAGUAAUGGAGGCUGAGUUCAAUGAAAGAAUCGAAAGGAUGGAAAGAAUCCAGAGGGAAUUACAAGAACAACUGGUUAAGUCACAGCAAGAAACGAGGGAUUUGAUAGUAAGAUCUCGAGAGGAAUCACUUGAACAUAAGGAUCAAAUGGCUAGAAUGAUGGAGAUGAUGUCGGUUUUGAUCAAAGAAAAAGGACCCAUGCAGAACCCCGACAGUAUGGAACCUCAAUCAAGAAUUAAUCAUGACCAGGAUCCACUCUAUCCCCUAGGAUUCACUCCACCGCAUACCCACGUAGCACAAAGAGGGUAUACUCAAGGGGAAUCCACAGGCUUGGAACAACGACCUAUGCCAUUUGCUCAUCUAGGGCAAGGAACAUUUAUGUCAAAUCCCGGAGCAACCCCUACCAAUCCUGUAGUUCUAGAUUUAGAUGAUCCGGCUGAAGUAGCCAAGUUGAAAAUAGAUGAUCACGAGGCUCAAGAGAAGUAUAGGAGUUUGGAAGAAAGACUCAAGGCAAUAGAAGGCACUGAAGCCUUCUCGGUACUAGGUGCUAAAGAACUCAGUUUGGUACCUGAUCUAAUUCUGCCUCCGAAGUUUAAGGUGCCAGACUUCGAAAAAUACGAUGGGACAAGAUGUCCAAAAGCAUAUCUUGUCAUGUUUUGCCAAAAAUGACCGGUUACGUGAACAAAGAUAAGCUACUUGUACAUUGUUUUCAAGAUAGUCUGGUAGGAUCGGCUCUUCGGUGGUACAACCAGCUCAGUAAGGACAGGAUCCGAUCCUGGAAAGACUUGGCGUUGGCAUUCUGUGAGCAGUACAAGCAUGUAUCAGAUAUGGUGCCUGAUCGGAUGACUUUACAAAUGAUGGAGAAAAAGCCAUCAGAAACUUUUAGACAGUAUGCGCAGAGAUGGAGGGACGUCUCAGCCCAAGUGGAACCCUCACUGACGAAAAUAGAGAUAACCGUCAUUUUUAUUAACACCUUAAAGACGCCGUUUUAUGACAAACUAGUGGGAAGCGCCACGAAGGACUUCGCGGACAUUGUAAUAUCCGGUGAGCUUACAGAACGCCGUCAAGAGCGGUAGAAUGGAAGGUCAAGAAAGUUCAAAAAGGGUAGCGCCCAUGAAGAAGAAAGAACCAGAAGCCCACAUAGUGGGAAUGGGAAGCCGUUAUACCCCUAAUCCAUAUCCAAACUAACCCCAACCUCAAAAUUAUCCACCUCCGAAUUUUUAUUAUCCUCCUCAAACCCCUUACUACCAAACACCGCCUCCUUACUCUUCUUACCCUGUUUACGCCACAAGUAACCCAAGACCAAUCGCCACAUUCCCAGAAAAUACAAUAGUCGCCCAAGGCCAACCCAAAAACGAGCAGAGGCCAGCAAAACCCAAUUCCGAGAGACCACAAUUUACCCCUAUUCCUGUGCCAUAUGGGGAACUGUACCCAAAACUUUUGGAGAAGCAAUUGAUAUCCCCGCAUUAUAUGGCACCCUUGAGGCCCCCAUACCCGAAAUGGUACGACCCAAAUGCUAGUUGCGUGUACCACGCCGGGAACCAGGGACACUCUACGGAAAACUGCCUUGCCUUCAAAAGGAGAGUUCAAGGACUCAUCGAUGCAGGUAUUCUGCAAUUUGAUGGUACUGACGGUACAACCGAGAACCCAUUCCCUAACCAUAUCGAAGGAAAUGUGAGCACAGUGAGGAAAGAAGAUAAAUGGCAAGUCAGAAGAUGUGUUUCAGAAAUAAGGACGGCUCUGCAGAAAAUCUGGGAGGCACUAGUUAAGAAGGGACUGCUCUGUCGCCUCGACGACAAUCUCAGAAAAGAAUGUCAGGUUUUUUAUGAUUUUCAUGGAAUUGUAGGGCAUGACAUUCAAUCAUGUGAAGAAUUUAAAAGGUUAUUGCAAGACCGGAUAGAUAAUAAGGAGAUUGAGAUCAUUAAUGAAAUAUGGGCCAAUGAGAGAGAAGUAUGUGCUUCUGACAAUCAAUCGUCAAGUUUUCCGUAUAGCACCGAUCGACCAUUCGUAAUUUAUUACGAUGCAAGGAAUGAACUGGUGAAACCAAAAAUGAUAAUUGAAGUACCAUCUCCUUUCCCCUACAAGGAUAAUAAAGCAGUACCAUGGAAAUACGAAGAAAAUCCAAAGCUGUAACUGGAAACGUUGGAGAAGUAGGUCAUUUCACUCGCAGUGGGGGAUGUUAUUCGAAAGAAGUUGAACCAGUGAAGAAGAAUAGUGAUUUGAAACAAAAAGGAAAGGCACCAAUGUUUGAGGCUGAAACUAAGAACGAAACUCCGCCUGAGCAACAAAAAACUAAAGAGUCGGUAGAUGAGGAAGAAGCACGGGAAUUCUUAAAGUUUAUCAAACAUAGUGAGUACAACGUGGUAGAACAAUUGAGUAAGUAGCCAGCGCGAAUCUCGGUAUUAUCUCUGCUGUUGAAUUCAGAACCACACCGGAACGCUCUGCUGAAAGUGUUAAAUCAAGCUUAUGUGGCAAACAAUGUAUCCGUUGAAAAACUGGAUAGAUGGAUGAACAACUUGAAUGCGGAUAAUUUUAUUUCUUUUAGUGAUGAUGAAAUACCGCCCAAUGGUAGAGGCUCAGUGAAAGCAUUGCAUAUCACAACCCGUUGUAAGGUCUAUAUAAUACCGAACGUGCUCAUCGACAAUGGAUCAUCACUCAAUGUCAUGUCUUUGGCCACACUUUCCAGGAUUCCGAUGGAUUUGUCCUAUCUAAGGCCCUGCCAUUCUACAGUAAGGGCAUUUGAUAGAACAAGAUGAGAGUUCAUGGGAAAAAUCGAGAUCCCUCUAGAAGUGGGUCCCUACAUAUACGAUAUCGAGUUCCAAGUCAUGGACAUUACACCAUCAUAUAACUGUCUUUUAGGAAAACCCUAGAUCCAUUCCGCUGGAGCAGUCCCAUCAUCCCUUCAUCAAAAGGUGAAAUUUAUCAUGGAUGGUUGUUUGGUCACUGUCGAGGGAGAAGAAGACAUUGUCGCAUCUAUCUCUGCUGAUGCGUCAUACCUCGAAGUAAGCAAAGACGCAAUAGAAUGGUCCUUCCGAUCCCUUGAAUUUGUCAAUGCAACAUUCGUCGCUGAGGGAAACAGAAUUCCCAAGCCAAAAUUGUUGAGAAAUACCAAGAUGGGUGUCAAGUUAACUGUAGGAAAGGGAGCCCGAGCAAGGAAAGGUUUGGGAAGGUACCUGCAAGGAAUAGUCAGGGCUCUAAAGCCAGUGCACCACAUGGCCCGAUAUGGUUUGGGGUUCCAACUGGACAUGCGUCAAAGAAGAAAACAGCGGAAGAAGGAUCAGGAGAGAAGGAUUGCGAGAACUUUGGGCCGAGAAGUAGAAUGGGAGCCCAUAACGUACUCUCAUUUGUUGAAAACAUUUACGUCUACGGAAAUGAUAUACCCGGGGCAGGAUCAUGCACAAGGCACAAUUUUAAUGAUCGAAAAGGGUUUUCAGAAUAUCAGUAUAAAUGUCAUUGACAAAGGAGCUAAUGCAAGUAAAGACGUCCCAAGGAUACGCCCUUGUCCCCUGGGUUUCAGGUUGAACAAUUGGACUACCGAAGACCUUCUUGUAGUUUAUAAGUCUUCAGAGUAAUGCUCAAACAUUAACAUUCUAUUAUGUUCUUAGAUAUAAUAGAGUUCUUUUGUAAGAGCCUGCAUUCGCUCUUUAUCAUUCAAAUGAAUAUCAAUGAAGAUGCAUUUUGUCAUAAUCUUUCACAUUAUCACUAAUUUCAUAAUCAUUUUCUCCUUUCAUAGCCAAUCCUUACAUUUGCCUCAUGCCAUGCCAUAACAUUUCGUUUGUUGGUUCCAAUACUUGGAUGCCCCUCUAUAGUUUCCUUUUCCAUUCAAAUUUCAGGUGCUCAGAUGUCAACAGCAUAAACAAACCUGUUACGAGUCCUGAAAUCUUUUUUGAAAAGGUUGUUUGUUUAGGAGAAUUCGAAGCCGAAGAAAAUGCUGAAGACUAUGUCUCGUCUCUUGACUUGCUAAGAAUGGUGGAACAAGAGGAUAAACAAAUUUUGCCUCAUCAAGAAUCUGUUGAAACAAUAAAUCUGGGAACUGAAGAAAGGAAGCAAGAAGUAAAGAUUGGAACUUCUAUUUCAGGGGGCACCAGGCAUAAUUUGAUUGCUUUGCUCCGCGAGUACAAAGAUGUAUUCGCAUGGUCAUAUCAGGACAUGCCAGGAUUGGAUGAAGAUGUAGCGGUCCGUAAGCUCCCAUUAAAGCCAAAAUGCAAGCCCAUUCAACAAAAUGCAAGUCCAUUCAACAAAAGGCAAAAGUCAAGAGUCAAGAAGCAAUUUGGUGCUAGUUUCCUACAAGCUUCCAAAUACUGUUGCGCUUUGGUUUGGGUAGCUCGAAGACUUAGGCAAUACAUGUUGUAUCAUACGACAUGGUUAAUUUCAAAGCUAAAUCCAAUAAAGCACAUGAUGGAAUCACCUGCACUCUCAGGAAGAAUGGCACGGUGGCAGAUCUUACUAUCAGAGUACGACAUCACCUAUGUGAGUCAAAAGUCAAUAAAAGGAAGCGCAAUAGCUGACUUCUUAGCAACCCGAACAAUGGAUGAAUAUGAGCCAUUGAGAUCUGAUUUCCCGGAUGAAGAUUUGAUGUGCAUUACAGAAAAAGAGGGUGAGUCAUCAAAAAAGAAGUCAUGGAAGAUGAGCUUUGAUGGUACAUCAAACACAUUGGGGCAUGGGAUUGGAGCAGUCUUAGUAUCACUAGAAGGGAACCAUUACCCACUCACUGUUAGGCUGAAUUUCUUCUGUACCAAUAACAUAGCGGAAUAUGAGGCAUGUAUCAUGGGACUUCGUGCAGCUAUUGAACGAAACAUCAAAACUUUAGAGGUAUACGGAGACUCAGCCUUGGUGAUUUACCAAAUCCGUAGAGAUUGGGAAGUGAGAGACUCGAAACUGGUUAAAUACAGUGAUCUAGUGGCAGAGUUGAUUAAAGAAUUCGAAGAAAUAACUUUUAAUUACCUCCCACGAGAAGGAAACCAAUUGGCUGAUGCCCUGGCCACUUUGGCUUCAAUGUUCAUAGCAAACAGAGAAACAGAAAUAAUGCCACUUCAAAUGAGCAUAUAUGAAGUCCCUCCACAUUGUUUCAGCAUUGAAAAAGAGCCAAAUGGACGGCCAUGGUUCCAUGAUGUCUUAGAAUAUAUCAAGAAUCGAAAGUAUCCCGAACAAGCAAACGAAAAUGACAAAAGAACAAUCAGAAGAAUGGCAGCGGGAUUCGUUCUUGAUGGGGACAUCCUGUACAAAAGAGGAAAAGAUCAGGUGCUCUUGAGAUGCAUAGAUGCUGUUGAAGCCAGAAAAAUACUUAAGGAUGUCUAUGAGGGAAUUUGCGGGACACAUGCCAAUGGUUUCACUAUGGCCAGGAAGAUUAUGAGACUCGGAUAUUACUGGCUGACGAUGGAAAGCGACUGCAUUAAUUUCGCACGAAAAUGCCACAAAUGUCAAUUUUUUGGUGAUAAAAUUCAUGUAGCCCAUUUGCCCCUUCACGUCAUGACUUUUCCGUGGCCUUUUUCUAUGUGGGGCAUGGAUGUUAUAGGGCCAAUUUCCCCAAAAGCUUCUAAUGGACACCGAUUCAUUUUUGUGGUUAUUGAUUACUUCACAAAAUGGAUAGAAGCCACAUCAUUUGCCAAUGUGACGAAGACUGCAGUUUGCAGGUUUUUGAAAAAGGAAAUCAUUUGUCGAUAUGGUUUGCCUGAAAGAAUCAUUUCAGAUAACGCCUUGAAUUUGAACAACAAGAUGAUGAAAGAAGUGUGUGAGAAAUUCCAAAUAAAGCAUUAUAACUCCUCACCCUAUCGCCCAAAGAUGAACGGAGCUAUUGAAGCAGCCAAUAAGAAUAUUAAAAAGAUUAUUGGGAAAAUGACCAAGACAUAUAAAGACUGGCACGAGAAGCUACCAUUUGCUUUGUAUGCAUAUCGUACAUUUGUACGGACAUCUACGGGAGCAACUCCUUUCUCUCAGGUCUAUGGAAUGGAAGCUGUGCUACCCAUCGAAGUUGAGAUCCCCUCUCUACGAGUCUUAAUGGAAUCAAAACUAGAAGAAGCAGAAUGGGUUCGAGCUCGAUAUGACCAGUUAAACCUUAUUGAAGAAAAACAUCUGAAGGUAGUCUGCCAUGGACAGAUGUACCAGAAGAGAAUGAUCGCAGCCCAUGACAAGAAAAUACGGCCAAGAGAAUUCCACAAAGGAGAACUCGUGCUGAGAAAGAUUCUCCCAAUACAAAAAGACUUCCAAGGAAAAUGGGCGCCAAAUUGGGAAGGUCCAUACGUCGUAAAGAAGGCAUUCUCAGGCGGAGCUUUGAUUCUCACCGAGAUGGAUGGGAAGGAGUUACCGGAUCCAAUGAACUCAGAUGCUGUAAAGAAAUAUUAUGCUUGAAAAAGGAAACCAAGAUGAAAACCCGAAAAUGGCAUCUUAAAAAAAAAGAAAGAGAAAAAAGUGUGAUCAAGGUAAAAACCCGAAAAGGGCAUCUUGAUUAAACACAAAAGAUUAUGAUGAAAACCCGAAAGGGCAUUCUAAUGAAGCAAACCCGGGCUUAAAGAACAAGGCGUUUUGAACGAUGGGUCAAAUAGUGAGACUACAGUAUUUGAAGCAUUUCUGAAAGCUCGAAAUCUUCUACGCAAGAAGCCAUGCUCGAAAAGGUUCUUGAUUGAGGAAUGGGAAAGAGUACAUGCAUUGAAUAUCUAGAGCAUUUGUAUUCGUUGAAUGCAAUCCCUUUUCUCUUUAUGACACUCUUUUACUAUUGUUGGUUAACUUUCUUUGUUUGCUACAUUUGAAAUGAAUAAUUGUGAGGUAUCCUUUUGUCCCUACCUGACCAUUUUCAUACAUCUCAUUAUGUGAUUCAAUUACAUGAUAAAUAGUGAAAUGACAUACUCUAAACAAAAGAAAUGUUAAGCAUUACCCGGGUAAGAAUUUAAUAAGUACAAGAAUCUCAAAGUAAGGACAAAGUUCAACCUGGGGUAAAAGAGUGAUAUUUGAGAAACAUUGAUUACUCGUGAAACUUGAGGACGGGUACAGGGCCUAAAGAGGAAGUCAGGAGCCGAAGUAAUGAAUGCAGAUCAUCACGAAAAUCGUGACGAAAAAGGAAUAUAUGACAAACAUGCCUAAAGCUCAUAGCAUAAUCAUGUAGGCAUAAAAUCAUUUAUAACAAACAUGUGCAUAUCAUGCAUGACAUAUACAGGUACUCCAGUAGAGCAAGAGGAUGUGAUGAUAGCUAAAAAGACACAUGAGUUUCUCCAGAUGACAUGUUUUGGUAUUCUGAUGUUUUAUUUCUGUUUCAAAAUUCAACUCAUACUGCGAGGGGUGAGUUGAGCCUCAAGACAUGCUGAGGUAUUUUCGAUUUCUGUUUUUCAAUUUAUGUUUUCAAAAGUCAAUUCAUAUUGCUAUAGGUGAAUUGAGCCUCGGGGCACGCUGAGGUAUUUUCAAUUAUUGUUUGUCAAAAAAUCAAUUCAUAUUGCGAGAGGUGAGUUGAGCCUUGGGACACGUUGAGAUAAUUUUUUUUCUGUUUCAAAAUUCAACUCAUACUGCAAGAAGUGAAUUGAGCCUCAAGACACGUUGAGGUAUUUUCAAUUUCUGUCUUUCAAAAAAUUCAACUCAUACUGCAAGAAGUGAGUUGAGCCUCAAGACACGUUGAGGUAUUUUCAAUUUCUGUCUUUCAAAAUAAUCAACUCAUAUUGCGAGAGGUAAGUUGAGCCUCAGGACACGCUGAGGUAAUUUUGAUCUCCGUUUUUGAAAAUCAACUCAUAUUGCGAGAGGUGAGUGGAACCUCAGAUCACAUGUCGAGGUAUUUUCAAAUUCUGCUUUUCAAAUUAAGUUUCAAAAACCAACUCAUAUUGCGAGAAGUGAGUUGAGCCUUGGCUCACACGCUGAGCUAUUUUCAAUUUCUAUUUUUAAUGUCUGUUUUUUAAAGAGUCAAUUCAUAUUGCGAGAAGUGAGUCGAGCUCAGGAUCACACGCUGAGUAAAGAAUUAAGAUUACAGCUGAUUGAAGACACCAGAUUUUGUCUCCCUGAAGUUGCAGUGGAGUUGAUCGAGGAUAUUAGAUCUUGCCUUUCUAAAGUGGCAGAAGAGAAGACCAAAACCUUAUCUCACUAAAGCGAUAGAAGAGCGGAUUGAAGUUGUAGAUCUUAUCUUUCUGAAGUUACAGUAAAACGGAUCGAAGCCACAAAUCUCAUAUCCUUGAAACUACAUUGGAGUAGAUUGAAGCUACAAGGCCCAUAUCAGAAGAUGCAAUGAAUUGGACCAAAGCUACAAGAUACGGUGGACUAGAGAGAAACUACUUGAACAAGAAGAGUACCAAAGACGUCAAGACUUAGCAAGACUGGGCAAAAUUGGCCUUUAUUUGUGUCUUUGCUCUAUUCCCGUUACACGACAAUGAGCAAAGAGGGGCAGCUGUUGUAGGCCAAUUUUGAGCCCUUUUUACAAAAUACCCACAGCCCAAUUUUAUCCACACUUAAACCUCAACCCAUUUCCUAAUACCCAUCUAAAUUAACCCAAAUAAAACCCAAGUACAACCUAAUUACCCAAACCCCAUAAAGCCCAAAUACAACCCAAUACCAACCUAACCACUACCCAUACCCAAAUUAGCCCAAUAACAAAUAGCCCAAUUCUAACCCUAGCCCAAAACCAAAACUUUCAGCCAAGGGAAACCCUAGGCCGCCGCAUGCUAGGCAUGCCUCUGCCCGAGACCUGGCACCAGCCACUACUACCACCACGCCACUGCUGCCCACCAUGCUUCUCUGACAACGGCCAUACCCUGCAAAAGGAGACAAACACCAAGACAGAAGAAGACGACAAGGAGCAAUGGCAAGAAACUUAAAAAAUGUUGUAUAGAAAUGGCUAUAAAGGCUAGAUCCGAAUGUAAUAGGAGCUCCCUCUUUUUUUUUCCUUUCAUUUUGGCAGUAAGAAAAAACACAAAAACAAGAAGAAAAACAUUCAAUUUCAGAUUCAAUAUAGUGAUUCAAUCAACGUUUAAAUAUAGAAAUAGCAUUCAGGCAUACAAAAACACCAAGAUCAAAGGAUUAAAAGCUUAAAAAACCCUAAGGUGAUUUCUUUUUUUCUUUCUAUUUUAAAUUCGGUUUUAAGCUUUUUUUACCUUUAUAUAUAUAUAUAUAUUAAAACAUAUUAAAAUAUAAAUACAAAAUACAAAAAAAAAGUAAAUUUUUACCUUUUCCGGCCACCGCACGCUGGCGACGGACGGAGGCUGACGAUCGGCCGGUGACCGGCCCCCCUGGCCGGAUUUCCUUCCCCCCUCCCUUCUCUCUUCUUUCUCCCUCAUUUUUUUUCUUUCUCUCCUCAGAAUGAUUUUUUUGUCAAAAAUUGGCCUUAUAUAGCCCUCCAAAACGACGUCGUUUUGGGGCUACCCUUUAGCCCCAAAACGACGUCGUUUUGGCCUAACCCGAUCCGACCCGACCUGUCUUACCCUAGGAUCCGCGUGUUUUUUGUUUGAUGGUCUAAUUUCGCGAUUGGCCCUUUCGCCUUUUCAUGUUUUCGCAAUUGAGUUUUUAAUAUUUCAUAAUUAGGCCCCGAAAUUUGACGCGCUUUGUGAUCUAGUCCUCUGCCAUGUGUUGCGUUUUAGGAGGAGAGAAUAUUGCACUUUUGGUCCCCCAGAGUUUCCCGCGUGUUCAUUUUGGUCCUUUUCCCUUAAUUUCUUUUUAAAUUUGCCCCAAAAUUCUGUUCUUAGUUCGAUUUAGUCCUUUUUCGUUUAUUUUCAUUUUUUUACAUAUUAUUAAUAUUAUUACUAUUAUUUUAUUUCUAUUAUUAUCUUUAUUAUUACUGUUAGUAUUAUUUUCAUUACUAUUAUUUUUAUUAACAUAUUAAUUAUUUUCUAACGUAUUAUUAUUACUAAUUAUUAUUAUAUCUAGUUUUAUUAUUAUUAUUAAUAUUAGUGUAUGUAUUUAUAUAUGUAUGUAUAUAUAUUUACAUAUAGUACUAUUUUAAUUACUUUAUUUUAAUAUUACUGUUAUAUUAUAUUUGCUUUUUUAUAUACUUCAUUAUUAUUUCUAAUAUUAUUAUUAUUAUUAGUCGUUAUUUAUUUCUAAUAUGUAUAUAUUAUGUAAAUGUUUAAAUAUUAUAUUAUAUAUAUUCUUCAUGUAUGUUAUGUAUAUAUGUUUUCAAUAUUAUAUUUUUUAUAUAUUAUUAGUUAUAUAUUUUAAUAUUAUUAGUUAUAUAUUUUUUAUACUAUUAUGUGUAUAUUUCUAAUAUUAUAUUGUAUAUUUUUAAUACUAUUAUUUAUAUAUAUAUGUGUGUGUAUAUAUUUGUGUAGUGUACAAAGUAGUUUUUUAUUAUUAUCAUUUCUAAGGUAUGUAUACAUUGUAUAUGUUUUAUUUAUGCUAUGUAUAUAUUUUUAAUAUUACUAAUUAUAUAUAUUUCUUAUACAUUUCCAUGUACAUAUUUUUAUACCAUCUUAUGUAUAUAUUUUUAAAUACUAUAUUGUAUAUAUAUAUUUUUUUCUUAAUACCAUAUUGUGUAUAUAUCAUUAUUACAUUUAUUUUACUCCUACUAUGUUUGUUAUUUAUAUCGACAUAUAUUUUAUUAUACUUGUAUGCAUAUUUUAUAUAUAGUAUUAUUUUCGUAUAUCAUUAUAAUUAUUAUACCCAUUAGUUUCACUAUCAUCACUUAUUAUUUUAUAUUACUAUGUAUAUAUUUUUCAUAUACGUCAUGUGCACACAUUUUUCAUAUGUAUACAUGUAUAUAUUAUGUAUAUAUUUUAACAUUAUUAGUUAUAUUCUCACUAUCAAACAUUAUAUAUAGUGUACAUACAUACUCUUCAUAUCAUGUAUCUAUAUUCAUUAUUUCCAUUUCAUAUUUAAUUCUAGUAUCAUAUAUAUCUUUAUUGUUUAUAAUAUUAUUGUCACAUUUAUAUUCGCUUCAAUGUACCUCUAGAUUUGUCUUUUAUUUUUUUAUUUAUUAAUUUGCUUUGUAUUACUUCGAAAAUCAUAUUCUUGUUUUCUAAUUAAUUUCAAUAAUCAAGGCAACGUACCGAUUUAACGUUAAGUCAUCGAUUUCAUCGCUAUGUUGGGUGAAUAUCAAUCGACUCGUGUUAAAACGGUAUAUCUUUCUCAAAAGAAAACGAAACUUGAAAUUUCUCGUGUUUUACUCGGUCACGAUUCAAGUUACUUUGAACUUGUAAUUUUGAAAAUUAAGACAACGCUUGUUUAUAAGAUACCAAUUUUGGGCGUCGCGAGGGUGCUAAUACCUUCCUCGCGCGUAACCGACUCCUGAACCCUAAAUUUUCUCUGGAUUUUAACGUAGACCUAAACUCAGCCUUUUAUUUGUUUUAAUAAGAGAUCUAAUAGGUGUCCGAUCACACCUAGGAAAAAGGAUCGGUGGCGACUCCCUGUUUAUUUCAAAAAUCAAAUUUCAAACUUUUUUUUCAAUAAAUCGCCACAAUUAGCGACCAAGCUAAGCUAAAAUUUUUACGUCGCUACAAACGCCUUUUUAUAAUGUAAUGCCAUACAAUAACAGGAAAACACAACAAGUCAGUAUUAUAUAAAGAAUAAUAGAACUCAAAGUAAGCAGAAAAUAAUUAAACACCUAUACGAGUAAUCGCUAGGGUUUGGUGCAGCUCUACCUAAGGCGGGUUUCUACGGCUCAACUAUAUGCGGUUUGUUUUUAAAGUAAAGGUUCCCAAACCAACAGAUUCCUCAAUCUUCACCCAUUAUAGGAUCAUAUAGACCGAGUUUAGUUCAGGGGAAUACAUUUCCCUAUAGCUGCACAGAGAUGAAAAUCUCACGAAGACGUAGGUACGAAUGUAUCCUGAAAGCAAUCAACUAUCCUACACAGAGGUGAAGACCUCACGAAGGAAUAGUUUCUCACUCCUACUUAAGAGGUGUGACUACAACGGUCAUGCAAUGCAAUGUGCGAGGAUAUAUGCAUAAAAAACUUGAAGCGAUAAAGAAAAUGGGAAUAAAAUAAUGAAAACCGUAAGAAAAAUGGGUGAAAUGCAAUGAAGGGAUCGUAAGAUUAAAACAAAUUUUCAAUUUUCGACAAAGGACAAAAAUUAAUCAAUUUAUGGCUCGACUCUCAAGGGUCCCUAGUGGAGUCGCCAAGCUGUUGAAACCAUUUUUUUGAAAAAUGGGAAUCGACUUUGUUUGAAAAUAAAAAUUAAAACGGGAGUCACCAUCGAUCUUUAUUAGGUAUGAUCAGAUCACCUUUGUUUUAAUAAAACAUUUUAGUUUACUAAAAUGGUGUUUUUGGUCUACGAAACUCGAGAGAAUGGGUUCGGGAGUCGGUUACGUACGAGGAAGGAUUAACACCCUCACCACGCCCAAAAUUGGUACCAAAUUGAUUAGUUAGUGUCUUAAUGUCGAAAAUUGGAAAUCGGGAAUUGAUUUAAAAUACGAUCCUUUUUUAUUAACGUCGAUUUUAAAAAUGCUUGAAUUAGAUCAAAACGAUUGCUAAAGAUUUCCUCGUCUUGAGAUAUCAGAGUAUCACAUCCCGUAAGUUAAGACACGAUCUCAUGAACUACUGAGCGCAAGUUUGUCUUUAAUUUUAAUUGGAAUUUCGUGUGCUUUAAAACUCGAAAGGAUAUUUGGCUAUUUAGAAUCAACGAGAAAAUUGAAACCUCGUAAGUUAGGGCACAAUGCCUCGAUGUUCCAAAACGCAAAACAUUGCCUUAUUUAGAAAAUUUUGUUUUGAACCAUAGCGAGUACGAUAUUUAAGCGACGUGUAUUAUUUGUUUGGAUUAAAAUAAAACGAUUUAUUGGAUAAAUGCAACGAGGCUUGAUUCAUGAGGCGAUGAUAUGAAAUAGAAAUAUAGUAAUGAGCCUAGAGCAAGGAUACAUGGACACAACAUUAUACGAAUGAAUAACAAUAAUGCAAAAAUAUGAAAUAAACGAAUUAAAAUACACACAAUAGCAAUAAUCACACAACAUACAUUAUUUAAAUACUAAUCAUUAAUAAUCAAAGACAAAUGAAUUAAAUAACAUAUAAAAAUUUAAAAAAAUUAUAAAGCAAAUUAAAACGAAUAAAACGUAAAACAAAUUUUAAAAUGAUAAGAAAUGAAUUUAAAAUAAAUAAUGUGAAAAAAAAGAAAUUUAAUAUCAACAAUAUACAAAACAAUUUAAAAAUAGAAUAUAUGUAUAAUAAAUUUUAAAAUAGGUAAUAUAGGCGAAAGUUUAAAAUAAAUAAUAUACGGGAAAAGUUUAAAAUGAAUAAUAUGUAAAAUAAUUUAAGAUAAAUAAUAUAUAAAUGAGUUUAAAAUAAAUAUUAUGUAAAAAGAAACUUAAAAUAAGUAAUAUACAAGACAUCUAAGAAAUAACUAGUAUAUAUAUAAAAAAAAUUAGAUAUAAAAAUUUGAAAUUGAUAAUAUAUAUAAAAUUUUAAAGUAAAUAAUAAAACAAUUUAAAAUUAAUAAUGCAUAAAGCGAGUUUAAAAUAAAUAAUGUAAAAGAAUUUUAAAAUCUAUAUUACGCAAAGCAAAUUAAAAAAGGAUUCAUAUGAAUAAUUUUAAAAUAGAUAAUAUAUAUACAUACACAAAAGUGUAAAAUAAAUAAUAUAUAUAAAAACCUAAAGUAAAUAAUAAUAAAACCAUUUUAAAUAAAUAAAAAGAGUUUAAAAUAAGAUAACAAUUUAAAACAAGCAAUAAAACAGUUACACAUAAAAACAAGUUUAGAAAUAUAUAUAAAGCAAUUCAAAGUAUAUAAUAUAUGAAAUAAUUUAGAAUAAUACAUCCAAAACAGUCUAAAACAGUUUAUCAUAUAAAAUUUAAAAUAAAUAAAAUAGUUUAAAUUAAAUGAAAAAAAAAUCAAAGAGUCCAAAUUUACAUGAAAAAGGGGUAGAUUGUAAAUAAAAUGAAACUUUAGGGUCUAAAUUCGAAUAAAAUAAAUGCAAGUAUAUAGAAAGGACUAAAUCAAAAUCUAAAUAAAAUUAAAAGGGGAAAUUCGGAUAAAAAAAAGGUAGAGGACGGAUUUGAAACGUGCUUUAAAACUGAAGGACCGAUUGGGAAAAUAUUCCCCUCCCUUAUACGCUGCGUUUCACUCGUCUGCCUCUUCAAAUGGUCUGAGGGCCAAAUUGAAACAGAGGUAAAAUUAUGCAGUCAAAGUUAAAAAUAAAAGGAAAAUAAAAAGGAUUAAAUUAAAAGAAUCAAAAAUUCGGAAGGACGGCGGACGUAAAUAGCCCAUUUACUGAAAACGCGUGGAUCCCCCUAGGGCGAGUCGGGUUGCGCGGAUCAGAGGCCCAAAACGACGUCGUUUUGGCCUCUAAACCCAAUUACCAAAACGGCGUCGUUUGCUUCUUAUUACUUAAGUCAAUUUUUUUUUUUUAAAAUUCAUUUUUGCGUUUCACUCGUCUGCCUCUUCAGCGACGGAGAAGGGCUCUCUGAAGCCACGGCCACGGGGUUCAGGUAAGUUUCCUCCUCUUUUUACAUUUUUUGUUCAAAAAUGAAAAUAAAAGAACAAAAGGAAAACGAGAUAUGGGAACAAAAAUCAACCUUUUGCUUGUUUUUUCUUUUUCGAUUGCUUAAUGUUCGUAAAAAAUUUACAGAGAAGAAGUUUCAGGCUUUAUUGCCGAAGAUUACAAGAUCCCUUUUUGUUUUUUGCUUAUUGUCUGCUAUUGUUCCUUGUUUUUUUCUUCUUUGUUUCUUGUAUUUUGCGUGUUUGGAUUUGUUUUGCAGGUGGUGUCAGAUGCGCGUGCUGCUAUGGUGGCGUGCGGGAGGCUCUGCGCGAGGUGGCCAAUGGUGAGGAGCGGCGGCUGAAGAGGGAGCUAGGGUUUGCUUGCUGAAAAUUUUGAUAGCUAGUGGGCUAGGAUUUGGGCUGGUUUGGUUGUAUUUUGAGUCUGAAAUGGGUUUUAAAUUGUUGGGCCACACAUAUAUUGUAAAUGGACUAAAAAAAAGAAACUUUUUAAUUGUUUAUUUGAGUUUUAUUUUGUUUUAUUGGCUUGGGCCAAAAUUAGCUAUUACAAUUUUGCCUUACUUUUUUAUUUUUAUUUUGUAGCUAAUUAUUAAAUGACAAUCUUUUGAAGUUUUCGUCGUCAGCAAUUGAAGUGUUUUCGGGUCUUCGGUGACAUAACGGCCUAUAUAAAAAAAUGGAUAUAAAAUUUGCCAUGUUUUAUUUAUUAUUUUAAUAUCUUGCGUUUUCAAUUUAAUUCAACUUUAACAAUUCAAUUUUUAAAUAAGGCUUCGCAUUUUAUUUCUUCCUCACUUUUUAAAAUAUCAAUUUUAGUCCUUCAAAAAUUCUUUUAAACUCUUAAAAUUUUGAAAUUGCAAAAGUGCCCAUCGAAUUCCCUUGUUUCCCAU
Molecule: long non-coding RNA, 30244 nt
Filed under: Gossypium barbadense (sea-island cotton)
Lineage: Eukaryota; Viridiplantae; Streptophyta; Magnoliopsida; Malvales; Malvaceae
Description: long non-coding RNA (GBAR_LNC009237)
Source: RNAcentral